AUAUAUAUAUUAGUGUUAUUACGGUACAACAAAUGUUCAUCGAUAAUUAUAUUUACUUGGUAUACUUACACCAUAAAGUAAUAUUUUUUAAAUGAUUUUCAGACAAUUCUUUAUGCAAAGCUGGCCAAUAAAGAUAUUAGCCGAAAAACAUUAGAAUCGGAUCAACAAUACCAGAGUUUAAGCAUCUUGCAUGUUUAGAUAUGAAAGAAUGACUGAAACUGUCGAUCUUUAUUUAGUUUGUGAUGCAAAUAAUGUUGGUGCAGAUGUUUUUUUUAUCGUUUUUCUCUACCUUCCCAACUUUAAAUUGAGACGGACCAAGCCAACUUGUCGUUAAUGGCAUGACGUUUGUUUGCCAUGUUUAAUAAUGGUCUGAAUUUAGUUGAAUGAAGCAAUGAAUCGUUGAUUGGGAAAUGUAAUGUGCAAAUGCGCUGAAAACUAAUAUUAUUGCAGCAGUGCUGUUGGUGUGAACCAAAUGAGUGCAGUCCUGCCCAGAAUGGUUAUCAAGUUAGCAAAUACACGAUGAAAAUUCUAUUUCUUGAAAUAACGUGUUUUUUUAAUGCUGGCGUGCAGUAGUGUUUUUAUGACGACAUGCAGCUGCACUUUGCGCGAUUAUUUAGACUUGUGGAAAGUCAAUGUUUCCGUUAGUUUUUUAUUGGCGGUAUUGAAAGGACGAUGUGGUUUCACGCUUGUCAUCAACAACACUCUAUCUUACCCUGACGAAUGAUAGCGAGUGUAGAAUCAGAUACCAAAUUGAUUACUGGCAGUGAUAAACGGCAUUGUGACGAUGCCGUCUUCUAAGGUUGAACUGAAAUCCAAGGACGCGGUGGGAAAUCUGCAACCUUUGACAACGAUAAUCGGCGACUCGUUGGAGGUAAAAGUCUUCAAGAGGCGUUGGUUUCAGCUCGCAUUGUUCAUCAUUUACUGCGUAAGCAACACUGUUCAGUGGUAUCAGUACGCUAUCAUCAGCAACGUAAUACGUCGGUACUACAACGUUUCGUCACUGGCUGUGGAAUGGACCAACGUGAUUUUUCUGGUCUCGUACAUGAUUCUUGUGUUUCCACUUUCCUAUCUGCUGGAUCGCGUUGGUCUGAGAUGGACGGUCUUGAUCGGUGCAACUGGCA
RNAcentral lists this long non-coding RNA (1121 nucleotides) under Neodiprion pinetum (white pine sawfly). RNAcentral describes it as "uncharacterized LOC124223912". Lineage: Eukaryota; Metazoa; Arthropoda; Insecta; Hymenoptera; Diprionidae. The record is from RNAcentral.